Molecule: transfer RNA, 76 nt
Filed under: Kribbella shirazensis
Lineage: Bacteria; Bacillati; Actinomycetota; Actinomycetes; Propionibacteriales; Kribbellaceae
Description: tRNA-Arg
Rfam family: tRNA
About the family: Transfer RNA (tRNA) molecules are approximately 80 nucleotides in length. Their secondary structure includes four short double-helical elements and three loops (D, anti-codon, and T loops). Further hydrogen bonds mediate the characteristic L-shaped molecular structure. tRNAs have two regions of fundamental functional importance: the anti-codon, which is responsible for specific mRNA codon recognition, and the 3' end, to which the tRNAs corresponding amino acid is attached (by aminoacyl-tRNA synthetases). tRNAs cope with the degeneracy of the genetic code in two manners: having more than one tRNA (with a specific anti-codon) for a particular amino acid; and 'wobble' base-pairing, i.e. permitting non-standard base-pairing at the 3rd anti-codon position.
Source: RNAcentral
CGUGGCGCAUGUCAACCGAGCGCGUCGGUUUCCUAAACCGUGCGUCGCAGGUUCGAAUCCUGCCGGGGCACAGCCA